UACGGAGGGUGCGAGCGUUGUCCGGAAUCAUUGGGCGUAAAGGGCGCGUAGGUGGCGGCUUAAGCGUGCGGUGAAAGCUCGGGGCUCAACCCCGGAGUCGGCCGUGCGAACUGAGUCGCUUGAGCACUGUAGAGGCAGGCGGAAUUCCGGGUGUAGCGGUGGAAUGCGUAGAGAUCCGGAAGAACACCGGUGGCGAAGGCGGCCUGCUGGGCAGUAGCUGACACUGAGGCGCGACAGCGUGGGGAGCAAACAGG
This 254-nucleotide ribosomal RNA is filed under the name uncultured bacterium. RNAcentral's name for it is "partial 16S ribosomal RNA". It matches the Rfam family "Bacterial small subunit ribosomal RNA", at positions 524 to 776 of the family's 1533-position model. The record is from RNAcentral.